UGAUUGGAUCACACUUGUCGUC
This 22-nucleotide non-coding RNA is filed under the name Arabidopsis thaliana (thale cress). Lineage: Eukaryota; Viridiplantae; Streptophyta; Magnoliopsida; Brassicales; Brassicaceae. The record is from RNAcentral.